AACGAACGCUGGCGGCAUGCCUAACACAUGCAAGUCGAACGAGACCUUCGGGUUUAGUGGCGCACUGGUGCGUAACGCGUGGGAACCUGCCCUUAGGUUCGGAAUAACUCCCCGAAAGGGGUGCUAAUACCGGAUAAUGUCUUCGGACCAAAGAUUUAUCGCCUUUGGAUGGGCCCGCGUGGGAUUAGCUAGUUGGUAGGGUAAAAGCCUACCAAGGCGACGAUCCAUAGCUGGUCUGUGAGGAUGAUCAGCCACACUGGGACUGAGACACGGCCCAGAAUCCUACGGGAGGCAGCAGUGGGGAAUAUUGGACAAUGGGCGAAAGGAUGAUCCAGCAAUGACGCGUGAGUGAUGAAGGCCUGAGGGUUGUAAAGCUAUUUUACCCGGGAUGAUAAUGACAGUACCGGGAGAAUAAGCUCCGGCUAACUCCGUG
Molecule: ribosomal RNA, 433 nt
Filed under: uncultured bacterium
Lineage: Bacteria
Description: partial 16S ribosomal RNA
Rfam family: Bacterial small subunit ribosomal RNA
Source: RNAcentral